UUUGACACAGAUGCUCAGAGCCAAGGAC
This 28-nucleotide non-coding RNA is filed under the name Mus musculus (house mouse). The record is from RNAcentral. Lineage: Eukaryota; Metazoa; Chordata; Mammalia; Rodentia; Muridae.